This 329-nucleotide ribosomal RNA is filed under the name Mantidactylus katae. RNAcentral describes it as "partial 16S ribosomal RNA". It matches the Rfam family "Bacterial large subunit ribosomal RNA", at positions 2019 to 2516 of the family's 2925-position model. Lineage: Eukaryota; Metazoa; Chordata; Amphibia; Anura; Mantellidae. The record is from RNAcentral.
UCUCCUUUUUCUAAUCAGUGAACUAAUCUUCCCGUGAAGAAGCGGGAAUAUCCCCAUAAGACGAGAAGACCCCAUGGAGCUUCAAACCCAAUUACACCCCUAACCCCUAUAACUACUUAACCCUUAGGAUUCUGUAUUAUUGGUUUUAGGUUGGGGCGACCACGGAGUACAACAAAACCUCCACAAUGAACGGAACUACUUCCUCAUCUGAGAGCUACAUCUCUAAGAAUUAAAAUAUUAACAUAAAAUGAUCCAUUUUUGAUCAAUGAACCAAGUUACCCUGGGGAUAACAGCGCAAUCCAUUUCAAGAGCCCCUAUCGACAAAUGGG